AAAUUGAAGAGUUUGAUCAUGGCUCAGAUUGAACGCUGGCGGCAGGCCUAACACAUGCAAGUCGAACGGUAACAGGAAGCAGCUUGCUGCUUUGCUGACGAGUGGCGGACGGGUGAGUAAUGUCUGGGAAACUGCCUGAUGGAGGGGGAUAACUACUGGAAACGGUGGCUAAUACCGCAUAACGUCGCAAGACCAAAGAGGGGGACCUUCGGGCCUCUUGCCAUCAGAUGUGCCCAGAUGGGAUUAGCUUGUUGGUGAGGUAACGGCUCACCAAGGCGACGAUCCCUAGCUGGUCUGAGAGGAUGACCAGCCACACUGGAACUGAGACACGGUCCAGACUCCUACGGGAGGCAGCAGUGGGGAAUAUUGCACAAUGGGCGCAAGCCUGAUGCAGCCAUGCCGCGUGUAUGAAGAAGGCCUUCGGGUUGUAAAGUACUUUCAGCGGGGAGGAAGGUGUUGUGGUUAAUAACCGCAGCAAUUGACGUUACCCGCAGAAGAAGCACCGGCUAACUCCGUGCCAGCAGCCGCGGUAAUACGGAGGGUGCAAGCGUUAAUCGGAAUUACUGGGCGUAAAGCGCACGCAGGCGGUCUGUCAAGUCGGAUGUGAAAUCCCCGGGCUCAACCUGGGAACUGCAUUCGAAACUGGCAGGCUUGAGUCUUGUAGAGGGGGGUAGAAUUCCAGGUGUAGCGGUGAAAUGCGUAGAGAUCUGGAGGAAUACCGGUGGCGAAGGCGGCCCCCUGGACAAAGACUGACGCUCAGGUGCGAAAGCGUGGGGAGCAAACAGGAUUAGAUACCCUGGUAGUCCACGCCGUAAACGAUGUCUACUUGGAGGCUGUGCCCUUGAGGCGUGGCUUCCGGAGCUAACGCGUUAAGUAGACCGCCUGGGGAGUACGGCCGCAAGGUUAAAACUCAAAUGAAUUGACGGGGGCCCGCACAAGCGGUGGAGCAUGUGGUUUAAUUCGAUGCAACGCGAAGAACCUUACCUGGUCUUGACAUCCACAGAAGUUUGCAGAGAUGCGAAUGUGCCUUCGGGAACUGUGAGACAGGUGCUGCAUGGCUGUCGUCAGCUCGUGUUGUGAAAUGUUGGGUUAAGUCCCGCAACGAGCGCAACCCUUAUCCUUUGUUGCCAGCGGUUAGG
This 1139-nucleotide ribosomal RNA is filed under the name Salmonella enterica. Its description in RNAcentral is "bacterial SSU rRNA". It matches the Rfam family "Bacterial small subunit ribosomal RNA", at positions 1 to 1129 of the family's 1533-position model. Lineage: Bacteria; Pseudomonadati; Pseudomonadota; Gammaproteobacteria; Enterobacterales; Enterobacteriaceae. The record is from RNAcentral. RNAcentral also lists the same sequence under 2 other names.